UUUAAUUUUUUUUUCCCGAAGAAUAGUUGAGCAAAGUGAUCUUGAUUUUUCGCGACGCUGGUGCACAGAUGUGGCGAUGCAGAGGAUAAGAUUUCUAGUCUCAUAAAUUAUUCAUCGUGUGAUCUAGCCCCACUCAAGAAAGAUUUUCAGUGUCAGUUGCACCAGCCCGGUAUCACAGACAAAUAAGACGUAACACGAGAUGAAUUUUCAUCACUCGUAGAAAAAACGGUCGAUUUCAAUUACAAAUCGGUGGCGUUAGUGAGAUUUUGACACAGAGCUAAUUGCGUUACUUAGUUUCCGCACCCACCCGAAAACGUUACGGUCUUUUUAAUCUCAUGCAAACCAAAACAAACAAUAUGGGCCGGAAAUGUGAAAUUCAUUCUUGUCGAAGUGCCCAAGGUGGGAGUUGUUCACAAUAAUUUCUUAAGUUACAACACGAUGCCAAUCGGUGAGUAAGCACAUAACAGGACGUUAGUAAUUUAAUUGAUUCGGUGUAUCGAAUGUAUGCAAUGGAUUGGAAUUCGUUGGUCCCCGGAACUGCUGGAGAAAUUGGCGGGGUGCAGGUGCUACAAAAACUAGAGAACGCUCAGACCAUUUUCAAUCAGACUUGUUUAGUGAUCAGUUUCAACCUAACAGGAGGUAACACGUCAAGUCGUGGAAUGAUUAUGAUUGAUAGUAACUGUAUAUUUAGGUUUCGUCAGGGUGUAGAUCUGUAUUAUUCCAGCAAAUCGAGCAUACUUUGCACUCAAGAUAGAAGCAGACCGUACGUUCUAAGAAAAUGUGGUGCCAGGGAAUAGUAUUCCUUAUCAUUGGCGAUUUUGCACUUACAAGAAGUAAAAGUAAACACCAGCCUGGAAAAUGAAGUAAUGUGUCUCCCUUGAAAGGUGACCUUACACGAUCAUUAAAAGUGACAUUUCUGCGCAGUAAUGCCAAUAAUAACGCCUCGUGUUAGGGUUCCUGAUAUCUGCGGGAUUCUAAAAGAGCGACGGUAAACAACCCAGGGACAACUUGACAGAUAGUUAUUGUUUCAUAUAUGCACCACCGAUUUGAUGGUGGCGCUAGUAUGCCUUCUCUGUAUGAGUACCACGAACAACGAAACGAAAACGUUUCAAGAGAAAAGCGUGUUUCGUUACGUGUGCUAUGAACGCCAUCAAUGCGGCUAGAACAACAUUUAGAAAUAGCUUAUUCCAAAAUGUGAAUAAAGAAAACUAUUAUUAGAGAAUAAAUUUAUCCCUAACUGAAAACCGUCAGCAAAAUUACAUAAAUCUUAUUAUAUAUUUAGCUGGAAGUAGAGGUGUGCGCCGCCGCGCCACGCCGCCGCCGCUGAUGAUUUUGACACGCCGCCGAUUUUAGGAAAAAAUGGUCAGCGCGCCGAUUGCCUUUUUUGUGCUGCUCCGCCGAUCAUAUUUAAACUCGCGCCGAGUCCAUUGUAAACGACCCAAUGGGUCACGCGCCUCAUCGAGACGACCAGAUCUAAAAAACCCAUAAACUUAACGAUCAUGACAGGAGACCCACCGUGUACUCGAUCGCGCUGGUAUGAAACGACAACCAGUAGAAGAAAGCCAAUCCGCGUGUGCUGAAGAUUAUAUUCUAAAAAGUUUACUCGAUUUAUAAAUUAUAAAGAUUUAUUUGAAAUUGUAUUUAAAACACAGUUAUACGCUGCAAUUUGCAAGUCGCGUUAGAUGUAUUAACUCGUAAAGCAGCUGUGAUCAUUAUCGGUGAUAGAAAUUCACAUUUAACAAUCUGUAACUAAUUCGAGUCACGAUUAGGUCACUAGUGACGCUGCUGAAGAAUUGACACGAAGUCACAAAUAAGUUGCGAACGCAAAUAUAGGAGGAAUAGAAGAGGAAUAAAUACUAAACGUAAGUUAUGCGCUCUGAAUUGUAUAUAGCAUAUGCUUAUAACAUAUCAUUGUCAUCCUAGGAAGUUUUUAUUAUUCAUUGUGAAUAAAUAAUUAUUCGGAAAUCAUUUGAUCCUCUCAUUGCGAAGCAACAAUUUGACCUGAAUGUGUAUUGAGUGAAAGAAUUUUGGUUUACUUUACGAUAAUCUUAUUGGUUGUAAUAGUUUUGUGUGAUUCUUACCAUUACCAAUCUUGAGGCAGCAUAUUGUAGUCCAUAUGGAAACAAAGCUGCUUUCGAACCGCACGGCAAUUCAGCAAGAAAUUAAACUGUCACCGUAUCUGUGAGCGGUUUGCUUAUGAACUGUGAAUUUAUAUAGUGUUCCGCUGUUUAAAGACUGGACAAGCGAAUAUCAGCCGAAUAGGUCGGUAAAAGGUAUUAAGAUAUUCAGAAGUUAAGCAAUAUACUUGUUCUAAGCGUUUCUUGUUUUACUAAUCAAUCAAUCGAUAUGAUAAUAAAAUAGCCUGGACAAUACUUUUGCUGACUUCCUACUCGCAUAGUCAUCCGGAUCGCAGCAAUCAACAGUCAGUCUGUGGAAACCAUAAUACUCCCUACUGUUGAAUUCUCAGUAGUUAAAGACACAAGUUACUUAGUGCAAGAACAUAUUUGGCUCAUGCGGAAUUAGAUAGCAUAUCGACCGAAUGAUGUCACUUUUUCAUGGUUAGAAUCAGUUAAAACUUAAUGAACCGACAUAUAAGCCAGUACAAUUGUUUCUACAAAAUCUGUGUAAAUAUUUAAAUAAAAAUACGUUGCAAAUUACCAUCGCACGCGUGAAUCACCAUUCUACUCAAAUUUGCACGCAAGCAAAGCUCGUAUAGCGAUUGCUGAACAUCUACUGGCGAUGUUGAAAGCAGGCCUCGAAA
This is a long non-coding RNA of Topomyia yanbarensis, 2761 nucleotides long. RefSeq lists it as uncharacterized. Lineage: Eukaryota; Metazoa; Arthropoda; Insecta; Diptera; Culicidae. The record is from RefSeq and is a predicted model, not a curated record. The transcript is spliced from 3 exons.